RNAcentral lists this ribosomal RNA (393 nucleotides) under uncultured bacterium. RNAcentral describes it as "bacterial SSU rRNA". It matches the Rfam family "Bacterial small subunit ribosomal RNA", at positions 29 to 424 of the family's 1533-position model. The record is from RNAcentral.
AUUGAACGCUGGCGGCAUGCCUUACACAUGCAAGUCGAACGGCAGCACGGGAGCAAUCCUGGUGGCGAGUGGCGAACGGGUGAGUAAUAUAUCGGAACGUGCCCGGUCGUGGGGGAUAACGUAGCGAAAGCUACGCUAAUACCGCAUACGAUCUACGGAUGAAAGCGGGGGGAUCGCAAGACCUCGCGCGAUUGGAGCGGCCGAUAUCAGAUUAGGUAGUUGGUGAGGUAAAGGCUCACCAAGCCGACGAUCUGUAGCUGGUCUGAGAGGACGACCAGCCACACUGGGACUGAGACACGGCCCAGACUCCUACGGGAGGCAGCAGUGGGGAAUUUUGGACAAUGGGCGCAAGCCUGAUCCAGCAAUGCCGCGUGCAGGAUGAAGGCCUCGGUU